AGCGUACACGGUGGAUGCCCUGGCAGUCAGAGGCGAUGAAGGACGUGCUAAUCUGCGAAAAGCGCCGGCGAGGUGAUAUGAACCUUUGACCCGGCGAUGUCCGAAUGGGGAAACCCAGUGCAAUCCGUUGCACUAUCGUUAACUGAAUACAUAGGUUAACGAGGCGAACCGGGGGAACUGAAACAUCUAAGUACCCCGAGGAAAAGAAAUCAACCGAGAUUCCCCCAGUAGCGGCGAGCGAACGGGGAGCAGCCCGGAGUCUGAAUCAGCUUGUGUGUUAGUGGAACGGUCUGGAAAGUCCGACGGUACAGGGUGAUAGUCCCGUACACGAAAGCACACUUGCUGUGAACUCGAAGAGUAGGGCGGGACACGUGGUAUCCUGUCUGAAUAUGGGGGGACCAUCCUCCAAGGCUAAAUACUCCUGACUGACCGAUAGUGAACCAGUACCGUGAGGGAAAGGCGAAAAGAACCCCGGCGAGGGGAGUGAAAAAGAACCUGAAACCGUGUACGUACAAGCAGUGGGAGCCUCUUUAUGGGGUGACUGCGUACCUUUUGUAUAAUGGGUCAGCGACUUAUAUUCUGUAGCAAGGUUAACCGUAUAGGGGAGCCGAAGGGAAACCGAGUCUUAACUGGGCGUUAAGUUGCAGGGUAUAGACCCGAAACCCGGUGAUCUAGCCAUGGGCAGGUUGAAGGUUGGGUAACACUAACUGGAGGACCGAACCGACUAAUGUUGAAAAAUUAGCGGAUGACCUGUGGCUGGGGGUGAAAGGCCAAUCAAACCGGGAGAUAGCUGGUUCUCCCCGAAAGCUAUUUAGGUAGCGCCUCGUGAACUCAUCUUCGGGGGUAGAGCACUGUUUCGGCUAGGGGGCCAUCCCGGCUUACCAACCCGAUGCAAACUACGAAUACCGAAGAAUGUUAUCACGGGAGACACACGGCGGGUGCUAACGUCCGUCGUGAAGAGGGAAACAACCCAGACCGCCAGCUAAGGUCCCAAAGUCAUGGUUAAGUGGGAAACGAUGUGGGAAGGCACAGACAGCCAGGAUGUUGGCUUAGAAGCAGCCAUCAUUUAAAGAAAGCGUAAUAGCUCACUGGUCGAGUCGGCCUGCGCGGAAGAUGUAACGGGGCUAAACCAUGCACCGAAGCUGCGGCAGCGACGCUUAUGCGUUGUUGGGUAGGGGAGCGUUCUGUAAGCCGUUGAAGGUGUCCUGUGAGGGGUGCUGGAGGUAUCAGAAGUGCGAAUGCUGACAUAAGUAACGAUAAAGCGGGUGAAAAGCCCGCUCGCCGGAAGACCAAGGGUUCCUGUCCAACGUUAAUCGGGGCAGGGUGAGUCGACCCCUAAGGCGAGGCCGAAAGGCGUAGUCGAUGGGAAACAGGUUAAUAUUCCUGUACUUGGUGUUACUGCGAAGGGGGGACGGAGAAGGCUAUGUCAGCCGGGCGACGGUUGUCCCGGUUUAAGCAUGUAGGCGGAGGUUCCAGGUAAAUCCGGUACCUUAUUAACGCUGAGGUGUGAUGACGAGGCACUACGGUGCUGAAGUGAUAAAUGCCCUGCUUCCAGGAAAAGCCUCUAAGCAUCAGGUAACACGAAAUCGUACCCCAAACCGACACAGGUGGUCAGGUAGAGAAUACCAAGGCGCUUGAGAGAACUCGGGUGAAGGAACUAGGCAAAAUGGUGCCGUAACUUCGGGAGAAGGCACGCUGAUAUGUAGGUGAAGUCCCUGCGGACGGAGCUGAAAUCAGUCGAAGAUACCAGCUGGCUGCAACUGUUUAUUAAAAACACAGCACUGUGCAAACACGAAAGUGGACGUAUACGGUGUGACGCCUGCCCGGUGCCGGAAGGUUAAUUGAUGGGGUUAGCGGCAACGCGAAGCUCUUGAUCGAAGCCCCGGUAAACGGCGGCCGUAACUAUAACGGUCCUAAGGUAGCGAAAUUCCUUGUCGGGUAAGUUCCGACCUGCACGAAUGGCGUAAUGAUGGCCAGGCUGUCUCCACCCGAGACUCAGUGAAAUUGAACUCGCUGUGAAGAUGCAGUGUACCCGCGGCAAGACGGAAAGACCCCGUGAACCUUUACUAUAGCUUGACACUGAACACUGGUCCUUGAUGUGUAGGAUAGGUGGGAGGCUUUGAAGCGUGGACGCCAGUCUGCGUGGAGCCAACCUUGAAAUACCACCCUUUAAUGGCUGGUGUUCUAACGUAGACCCGUAAUCCGGGUUGCGGACAGUGUCUGGUGGGUAGUUUGACUGGGGCGGUCUCCUCCCAAAGAGUAACGGAGGAGCACGAAGGUUGGCUAAUCCUGGUCGGACAUCAGGAGGUUAGUGCAAUGGCAUAAGCCAGCUUGACUGCGAGCGUGACGGCGCGAGCAGGUGCGAAAGCAGGUCAUAGUGAUCCGGUGGUUCUGAAUGGAAGGGCCAUCGCUCAACGGAUAAAAGGUACUCCGGGGAUAACAGGCUGAUACCGCCCAAGAGUUCAUAUCGACGGCGGUGUUUGGCACCUCGAUGUCGGCUCAUCACAUCCUGGGGCUGAAGUAGGUCCCAAGGGUAUGGCUGUUCGCCAUUUAAAGUGGUACGCGAGCUGGGUUUAGAACGUCGUGAGACAGUUCGGUCCCUAUCUGCCGUGGGCGCUGGAGAAUUGAGGGGGGCUGCUCCUAGUACGAGAGGACCGGAGUGGACGCAUCACUGGUGUUCGGGUUGUCAUGCCAAUGGCACUGCCCGGUAGCUAAAUGCGGAAGAGAUAAGUGCUGAAAGCAUCUAAGCACGAAACUUGCCCCGAGAUGAGUUCUCCCUGAGACUUUAAGUCUCCUGAAGGAACGUUGAAGACGACGACGUUGAUAGGUCGGGUGUGUAAGCGCAGCGAUGCGUUGAGCUAACCGAUACUAAUGAACCGUGAGGCUUAACC
This 2891-nucleotide ribosomal RNA is filed under the name Enterobacter cloacae. RNAcentral describes it as "bacterial LSU rRNA". It matches the Rfam family "Bacterial large subunit ribosomal RNA". Lineage: Bacteria; Pseudomonadati; Pseudomonadota; Gammaproteobacteria; Enterobacterales; Enterobacteriaceae. The record is from RNAcentral.